GACGGACAGGGACGGAGGUAAGAGUGGUAGGGGAGACGAGGUACGAGUGGCCGCGGUGGAUAGGUGAGGUAGCCCUAGAGCGGGCGGAAGAAGUGAGGGGCGCUGCACAGACCCACUCGUCGGCCUAGGCCGGCGGUAGUUCGGUAGGUAACAAGACCGGUAGGGACCGGCUGAAGGCGACGGUUGCCGUUGAACGUCCUGCUAAACAUGUAGUCCGCUCGCCGUGGCAGCUAGACGGUAGGAUCCGGUUAAAGACCACGGCUCCCGCAGCACAAGAGGAGGUUGAACGUGCCGUUGUCCCGAGAAGGCUACAGGUGACUAACUUCGAGCGGCGAGGCUCGUCAUCCGCGAUUGUGACCCUCUCUCAGGCCGACCCGGAGGUGAGGUUUUCUGUCAAACCUCCCUUGUCCGCGACGACUACCCUCGGCGUCGACGGCCUCGACACGGCGCCGCGGUGAGCUACCUUUUUGUAAAGGAUUGCGGUGUCCCCCCUUAUACGGGAGCUCCUCCUCCCGCUCGAUUACGCGGCGUAGCGGUGAGCUACCUUUUUGGUAAAAGAUUGCGGCGUUCCCCCUAUACGGGAAUUCCUCCCGCUCGGUGACUCGGCCAACGGCUCAACUGCGUUCUCUUGUCGCGAUGACGAGGUCACGCUGCCGUGAGUCCCCGACUCCGAGAUGGUGUGUACGAGCGUCUUGCUUGGCGAAGAGUUACCCACUAACUAAAACAUCGUGAGCUAGCGACUCAAUUUCCAACAUCGACUUAACUUAUAAAGAACAAGAAGUCUUAGAGCACGCUCGGAAAACGAAAAAUGACAUUAGGUACCUACAACCACAACACUUACAAUUUAAUAACUAUAGAAAUUGAACACUUAACCAACCUAUUUAGGCCCUUAUACAUACUCUACUUCAAAGACUUAUAUCUUCGAAGGACUUAUAUGUCCCGAAGACUUGAACAUACGUGACUCG
Molecule: ribosomal RNA, 965 nt
Filed under: Triticum aestivum (bread wheat)
Lineage: Eukaryota; Viridiplantae; Streptophyta; Magnoliopsida; Poales; Poaceae
Description: partial small subunit ribosomal RNA
Source: RNAcentral